GACGAACGCUGGCGGCGUGCCUAAUACAUGCAAGUUGAGCGCUGAAGGUUGGUACUUGUACCGACUGGAUGAGCAGCGAACGGGUGAGUAACGCGUGGGGAAUCUGCCUUUGAGCGGGGGACAACAUUUGGAAACGAAUGCUAAUACCGCAUAAAAACUUUAAACACAAGUUUUAAGUUUGAAAGAUGCAAUUGCAUCACUCAAAGAUGAUCCCGCGUUGUAUUAGCUAGUUGGUGAGGUAAAGGCUCACCAAGGCGAUGAUACAUAGCCGACCUGAGAGGGUGAUCGGCCACAUUGGGACUGAGACACGGCCCAAACUCCUACGGGAGGCAGCAGUAGGGAAUCUUCGGCAAUGGACGAAAGUCUGACCGAGCAACGCCGCGUGAGUGAAGAAGGUUUUCGGAUCGUAAAACUCUGUUGGUAGAGAAGAACGUUGGUGAGAGUGGAAAGCUCAUCAAGUGACGGUA
This 467-nucleotide ribosomal RNA is filed under the name uncultured bacterium. RNAcentral describes it as "bacterial SSU rRNA". It matches the Rfam family "Bacterial small subunit ribosomal RNA", at positions 28 to 477 of the family's 1533-position model. The record is from RNAcentral.